Molecule: ribosomal RNA, 486 nt
Filed under: uncultured bacterium
Lineage: Bacteria
Description: bacterial SSU rRNA
Rfam family: Bacterial small subunit ribosomal RNA
Source: RNAcentral
GAACGCUAGCUACAGGCUUAACACAUGCAAGGUCGAGGGGCAGCAUGAACAUAGCUUGCUAUGUUUGAUGGCGACCGGCGCAAGGGUGCGUAACGCGUGAGCAACUUGCCCUUAUCAGGGGAAUAACCGUUGGAAACGACGACUAAUACCCCAUAGUAUUGAGUUCAGGCAUCUUUACUCAAUUAAAGAAUUUCGGAAACGGAUAGGCUCGCGUGACAUUAGCUAGAUGGCGGGGUAACGGCCCACCAUGGCGACGAUGUCUAGGGGUUCUGAGAGGAAGGUCCCCCACACUGGAACUGAGACACGGUCCAGACUCCUACGGGAGGCAGCAGUGAGGAAUAUUGGUCAAUGGCCGGGAGGCUGAACCAGCCAUGCCGCGUGAAGGUCACGGCCCUAUGGGUCUUAAACUUCUUUUGUAAGGGAGCAAUAAGGUUCACGUGUGGACUGAUGAGAGUACCUUACGAAUAAGCAUCGGCUAACUCCGUG